GAUAGGUGGGAGGCUUUGAAGCGCAGUCGCUAGAUUGCGUGGAGCCGUCCUUGAAAUACCACCCUUGUAGUGUUGAUGUUCUAACGUCGACCCCUUAUCGGGGUUGCGGACAGUGCCUGGUGGGUAGUUUGACUGGGGCGGUCUCCUCCCAAAGCGUAACGGAGGAGCACGAAGGUGGGCUAAUCACGGUUGGACAUCGUGAGGUUAGUGCAAUGGCAUAAGCCCGCUUGACUGCGAGAAUGACAAUUCGAGCAGGUGCGAAAGCAGGUCAUAGUGAUCCGGUGGUUCUGAAUGGAAGGGCCAUCGCUCAACGGAUAAAAGGUACUCCGGGGAUAACAGGCUGAUACCGCCCAAGAGUUCAUAUCGACGGCGGUGUUUGGCACCUCGAUGUCGGCUCAUCACAUCCUGGGGCUGAAGUCGGUCCCAAGGGUAUGGCUGUUCGCCAUUUAAAGUGGUACGCGAGCUGGGUUUAGAACGUCGUGAGACAGUUCGGUCCCUAUCUGCCGUGGGCGUUGGAGAAUUGAAAGGGGCUGCUCCUAGUACGAGAGGACCGGAGUGGACGAACCUCUGGUGUUCGGGUUGUGUCGCCAGACGCAUUGCCCGGUAGCUAAGUUCGGGAUCGAUAACCGCUGAAAGCAUCUAAGCGGGAAGCGAGCCUUGAGAUGAGUUCUCCCUGAUACUUUAAGUAUCCUAAAGGGUUGUCGUAGACUACGACGUUGAUAGGCAGGGUGUGUAAGCGUUGUGAGGCGUUGAGCUAACCUGUACUAAUUGCCCGUGAGGCUUAACCAUACAACACCC
This 798-nucleotide ribosomal RNA is filed under the name Vibrio alginolyticus 12G01. Its description in RNAcentral is "bacterial LSU rRNA". It matches the Rfam family "Bacterial large subunit ribosomal RNA", at positions 2142 to 2925 of the family's 2925-position model. Lineage: Bacteria; Pseudomonadati; Pseudomonadota; Gammaproteobacteria; Vibrionales; Vibrionaceae. The record is from RNAcentral.